Molecule: long non-coding RNA, 460 nt
Organism: Panicum virgatum (switchgrass)
Lineage: Eukaryota; Viridiplantae; Streptophyta; Magnoliopsida; Poales; Poaceae
Exons: 2
Source: RefSeq, a predicted model, not a curated record
GCGACCGCUGUCACGCUGUGCUCUUGUCUUCCUCUCCUCCGGUUUGGUGCUGGAGUGCCGGAUAGUGUGAUGUCGUCCUGUCAUGGGCUACAGUGGGCUCGGCCGCCUGCCUCCCUCUCCAUGAAUUCUAUGCUCACCGUCGGUUUUGGGCAUGGAUGGAAGAAGGGGAUUGGGAAAUGAAUGGUGAUAGCCAUCCUUGGUGAGCACAGAAAGCAGUACUGUGACAUGUUCUUCCCCCAUUCUAUUUGGAAUCCUGAUAAAGAUGGCUGGUGGCUGUGGCUCUUCGUUCAGGCAAGCUGCUUUUCUUUUCUCCAUUGCAGAUUAUGCUCGUGGAUCAGCAGCUCAUUGUCCAAACUAUACUGUACAAUGUUACCAGCACAGAACAAUCAUUAUCUAAAAGUACAAAGACACAUCCAGAUCCAGCACUACAAUAUAGGGAUAGCAUCUCAGGUUUAGUUAA